RNAcentral lists this ribosomal RNA (301 nucleotides) under uncultured bacterium. RNAcentral's name for it is "partial 16S ribosomal RNA". It matches the Rfam family "Bacterial small subunit ribosomal RNA", at positions 509 to 807 of the family's 1533-position model. The record is from RNAcentral.
CAGCAGCCGCGGUAAUACAGAGGAUGCAAGCGUUAUCCGGAAUGAUUGGGCGUAAAGCGUCUGUAGGUGGCUUUUCAAGUCCGCCGUCAAAUCCCAGGGCUCAACCCUGGACAGGCGGUGGAAACUACCAAGCUGGAGUACGGUAGGGGCAGAGGGAAUUUCCGGUGGAGCGGUGAAAUGCGUAGAUAUAUGGAGGAACACCGGUGGCGAAAGCGGCUCUCUGGCUUGUAACUGACGCUGAGGCUCGAAAGCGUGGGGAGCAAACAGGAUUAGAUACCCCGGUAGUCCCUGUCUCUUAUAC